RNAcentral lists this ribosomal RNA (497 nucleotides) under uncultured bacterium. RNAcentral's name for it is "partial 16S ribosomal RNA". It matches the Rfam family "Bacterial small subunit ribosomal RNA", at positions 28 to 507 of the family's 1533-position model. The record is from RNAcentral.
GAUGAACGCUGGCGGCGUGCCUAGUACAUGCAAGUCGAGCGAACGGACGAGAAGCUUGCUUCUCUGAUGUUAGCGGCGGACGGGUGAGUAACACGUGGAUAACCUACCUAUAAGACUGGGAUAACUUCGGGAAACCGGAGCUAAUACCGGAUAAUAUUUUGAACCGCAUGGUUCAAAAGUGAAAGACGGUCUUGCUGUCACUUAUAGAUGGAUCCGCGCUGCAUUAGCUAGUUGGUAAGGUAACGGCUUACCAAGGCAACGAUGCAUAGCCGACCUGAGAGGGUGAUCGGCCACCCUGGAACUGAGACACGGUCCAGACUCCUACGGGAGGCAGCAGUAGGGAAUCUUCCGCAAAGGGCGAAAGCCUGACGGAGCAACGCCGCGUGAGUGAUGAAGGUCUUCGGAUCGUAAAACUCUGUUAUUAGGGAAGAACAUAUGUGUAAGUAACUGUGCACAUCUUGACGGUACCUAAUCAGAAAGCCACAGCUAACUACGUG